GCAAUAGAUGUAGAUGUGCAGAAGUGUGGUAUAUCCGGGUCAGCUGUGUUUACAUUCUGAGAAGAUGUCACAGUGGUCCCCACAGAGGCCACACCAAUCACAUCCUCACUAGCAAGGGCCGAGCACUUCUCAUCCUCAUAUCCCCACCGGCAUCUCUUUCUUCCACAAUAGCUAUACUGCUGAUGUUCUAAAAUUAUUGGUUUUUUUUUAAUUUUAAAAACUUAUUCAAAGAAAGAGGAAAGGAGAGAGAGAGGAAUGGGGAAGAGAGAGGAAAAGAGAGGGAGUGAGGGAGAGAGAGAAAGAAGAGAGAGAAGUGAAUUUGAACAUAUGUGUGCCUAACCAUGACAUGCUGUCAGGGUCAGAGAUCAAAGGUCAGUUCUCUCCUCCCACUGUAGAUUCUGGGAACUGGCCUUAGGUUUUCCAGUUUGAGCAGGCAAGCUCUUUUCACCUACUGAGCCAUCUUACCUCAAAGUACUUCUCAUUUAUGUCUGCAUGGUUAAUAAGGAGGCUAAACACUUCUAGAAACAUUGUUAGUUGUUCAUAUUUCUUGUUUUGAGAACUCAUUGGCAACUUGAAGUUUUGUUUUUUUUUUGUUUAAUUUUUGUAGCUCUUUAGAUAUUCAUCUAUUAACUGCCCUCUGAAGUACAGCUGACAAAGGUUUCCUUCUUUUCUGUAUGCUGUCUGCCCACUCUCUUCCGUUGCUGUGCAUUUGCCUUUUAAAAACAAAUUGGGUAACACUAGGUUCCUCUAGAGAGUUCAAGCAGAGAGAGCUUUAUAGUAGGAACUUUCCUGGUGGCUCUGACCAAGAACCUGAUAUAAAGUAAUUUAGGAGGAUUUCUUUUGGAAUUACAGUUUGUGAGAGUGGAGUCGAUGGGUUAGGUGCGGGGCAGGUAUGGCAGCAUUUAUGGGGCAGGAGUAGGGGUGGCUAAGCAUCCCUUCACAUGGGCUGGCCAGGACUCAGAGAGCAGAGAACACAGAGGCUGGUUGUCUUUCUCCUUUCCCUCUUUUGAUUCAGGCUGCUGCAGACCAUGGUGUGGUGCUGUUCACAUCCAGGGUGGCUCUUCCCUUAUAAACCCGCCCUGUUUGGGGUCUCUCUCACAGCUCCUUGAGUUUUGGAGUGUUCUUUCUUACAUUUCUAUUUCUCUCUGCCAGCUAGUGCACCAAUGCAGCGUUUUCUGUAAGCUGCACAAGUCAGCGCCAGGCCCCAUUGUGACCAGGUCUGUUGGGCUUGGUGUGCUGCUUCCAGAAACUCAGCUACUCUCUGCCAUGUGUGUGUGAGCAGCGGCCCUCCGGGUUUUAGGAUGAGCUCGGAACAGAGUGCUUGCAAGGUAUUUAUGGACACCGGAGAGCCAGGGUGUAGACAGCAGGACUACCACACAAAGUGACAUUGGAGACUCUGCUCUCAAGCCAUCAUGGUUCAACUUUUCAUUUGGUUCAGGCAUGGGAGAUUCUGGCAUACAAAGUCUUGACACUGACACCUCAGAGGUCUAUAUCCUGGCCCUGUGUGACAUCUGCUAGUGCCUGGAAUGACAAGAGCCUUUCCAUUGUGUUUGUAGCUAAAUUCUGCCACCUUCCCUACUGUGCAAUAAACCUUAAAAACUAGAGUUUUGUUUUGUUGUUGUUGUUGUUGUUUUAAAGAAAAGAUUGGAAUAGGGCUGACAAGAUGGCUCAGUGGGCAAACAUGAUUUCUACCAAGGCUAACGACCUUAAGUCAAUCCCUGAGACCCACAUAGUGGGAGGAAAGAGUCGCUUCCUAUACAUUCUCCUCUGGCUCCAUACGUGAGGCCUGGCACUUGGGUCCCCCUCCCCCAUC
Molecule: long non-coding RNA, 1813 nt
Filed under: Mus musculus (house mouse)
Lineage: Eukaryota; Metazoa; Chordata; Mammalia; Rodentia; Muridae
Description: long non-coding RNA chr3:135500903-135502716
Source: RNAcentral